GAUGAACGCUGGCGGCGUGCUUAACACAUGCAAGUCGAACGGUGAAGCAGGAGCUUGCUCUUGUGGAUCAGUGGCGAACGGGUGUGUAACACGUGAGCAACCUGCCCCUGACUCUGGGAUAAGCGCUGGAAACGGCGUCUAAUACUGGAUAUGUGAUGUGACCGCAUGGUCUGCAUCUGGAAAGAAUUUCGGUUGGGGAUGGGCUCGCGGCCUAUCAGCUUGUUGGUGAGGUCAUGGCUCACCAAGGCGUCGACGGUUAGCCGGCCUGAGAGGGUGAGCGGCCACACUGGGACUGAGACACGGCCCAGACUCCUACGGGAGGCAGCAGUGGGGAAUAUUGCACAAUGGGCGGAAGCCUGAUGCAGCAACGCCGCGUGAGGGAUGACGGCCUUCGGGUUGUAAACCUCUUUUAGCAGGGAAGAAGCGAAAGUGACGGUACCUGCAGAAAAAGCACCGGCUAACUACGUGCCAGCCGCCGCAGUAA
Molecule: ribosomal RNA, 484 nt
Filed under: uncultured bacterium
Lineage: Bacteria
Description: partial 16S ribosomal RNA
Rfam family: Bacterial small subunit ribosomal RNA
Source: RNAcentral